Molecule: ribosomal RNA, 509 nt
Filed under: uncultured bacterium
Lineage: Bacteria
Description: bacterial SSU rRNA
Rfam family: Bacterial small subunit ribosomal RNA
Source: RNAcentral
GACGAACGCUGGCGGCGUGGAUUAGGCAUGCAAGUCGAACGGUAUCAUCCUUUCGGGGGUGAGAGAGUGGCGAACUGGUGAGUAACACGUAGGUUAUCUACCCUCAAGACGGGGACAACCCAGGGAAACUUGGGCUAAUACCGGAUGUGAGCAACUUUUUAGUUGUUUGAAAGGUGGCGUAAGCUGUCGCUUGGGGAUGAGCCUGCGUCCUAUUAGUUAGUUGGUGAGGUAACGGCUCACCUAGGCAAUGAUAGGUAGGCGGCCUUAACGGGUGGUCGCCCACACUGGGAUUGAGGUACGGCCCAGACUCCUACGGGAGGCAGCAGUCGAGAAUAGUCUACAAUGGUCGGAAGACUGAUAGUGCGACGCCGCGUGAACGAUGAAUCCCUUCGGGGUGUAAAGUUCUUUUAUAUGUGAGCAGUGCUUCUUAUAUUAACAGUAUGGGGAAGAGAUAUUAGCAUAUGAAUAAGCAACGGCUAACUCCGUGCCAGCAGCCGACGGUAAAACGU